This 253-nucleotide ribosomal RNA is filed under the name uncultured bacterium. RNAcentral's name for it is "partial 16S ribosomal RNA". It matches the Rfam family "Archaeal small subunit ribosomal RNA", at positions 474 to 727 of the family's 1478-position model. The record is from RNAcentral.
UACCAGCACCCCGAGUGGUCGGGACGAUUAUUGGGCCUAAAGCAUCCGUAGCCGGUCCUACAAGUCUUCCGUUAAAUCCACCUGCUUAACAGAUGGGCUGCGGAAGAUACUAUAGGGCUAGGAGGCGGGAGAGGCAAGCGGUACUCAGUGGGUAGGGGUAAAAUCCUCUGAUCCGUUGAAGACCACCAGUGGCGAAGGCGGCUUGCCAGAACGCGCUCGACGGUGAGGGAUGAAAGCUGGGGGAGCAAACCGG